This 505-nucleotide ribosomal RNA is filed under the name uncultured bacterium. RNAcentral describes it as "bacterial SSU rRNA". It matches the Rfam family "Bacterial small subunit ribosomal RNA", at positions 108 to 611 of the family's 1533-position model. The record is from RNAcentral.
GCGUACCGCGUGAGCGACAUGCCCGUUGCCCGGGGACAACCGGUGGAAACGCCGACUAAUCCCCGAUGGGAUACGAUGCUUCAUGGCAUUGUAUUGAAAGUUACGGCGGCGACGGAUUGGCUCGCGUCCGAUUAGCUUGUUGGCGGGGUAACGGCCCACCAAGGCUACGAUCGGUAGGGGUUCUGAGAGGAAGGCCCCCCACAAUGGGACUGAGACACGGCCCAUACUCCUACGGGAGGCAGCAGUGAGGAAUAUUGGUCAAUGGGCGGAAGCCUGAACCAGCCAUGCCGCGUGCGGGAAGGAGGCCCUAUGGGCUGUGAACCGCUUUUGCCUGGGGGCAAUAAGGGCGUCGCGCACGUCCGAUGAGAGUACCAGGCGAAUAAGCAUCGGCUAACUCCGUGCCAGCAGCCGCGGUAAUACGGGGGAUGCGAGCGUUAUCCGGAUUCAUUGGGUUUAAAGGGUGCGUAGGCUGUGCGUCAAGUCGGGGGUGAAAUUCCGGUGCUCA